UCUAAUGUGGCAGAAAAGUGCAAUGAAUUUAAGCUUCAUAUAUAAAAUUAUUAAUUUUCUUUAGAA
This 66-nucleotide transfer RNA is filed under the name Oxyomus sylvestris. Its description in RNAcentral is "tRNA-Leu". The record is from RNAcentral. Lineage: Eukaryota; Metazoa; Arthropoda; Insecta; Coleoptera; Scarabaeidae.